UACGUAGGGCGCAAGCGUUGUCCGGAAUUACUGGGCGUAAAGCGUGCGCAGGCGGUGAUGUAAGACAGAUGUGAAAUCCCCGGGCUCAACCUGGGAACUGCAUUUGUGACUGCAUCGCUGGAGUGCGGCAGAGGGGGAUGGAAUUCCGCGUGUAGCAGUGAAGUGCGUAGAUAUGCGGAGGAACACCGAUGGCGAAGGCAAUCCCCUGGGCCUGCACUGACGCUCAUGCACGAAAGCGUGGGGAGCAAACAGG
This 253-nucleotide ribosomal RNA is filed under the name uncultured bacterium. RNAcentral describes it as "partial 16S ribosomal RNA". It matches the Rfam family "Bacterial small subunit ribosomal RNA", at positions 524 to 776 of the family's 1533-position model. The record is from RNAcentral.